UCGCCCGCCGCGCACACUUGACUAUGGUUACCGUACCUGGUGGCCGAACUGGUUGCAUGGGAAGGCGAGCACGGCGAACCCUCGAGGUCCGAAGCGCUGCUGCAACUCGCGAAACUGGGUGAAGUCCCGGCUCGUGGUGCCUCAGAGGGAAGCCACAUUGGAGACAAGCAGCACCCUCCCCAGCAGCGAGCCCAGAUCGACGGGCUCCUUAGCCCCUAGCGGCCGCACAAGUAGCCCCGCUAGACCAGCAGCCGGUCUUCCAGCCAUUUCACGAGCGGACAAGGAUGUUGCAGAAUAAGUGCGGAAGGAAGGGUCCACUUUCGCUCUUUUGAGAAGGUUGAGCAACUCCGCCCACCAAGCCAUUGCACUUUCUGUUCUGGGACUGGGUGCGGCGGAUGGGGCAGAAGGCUCCGCCCAGUCGCCUUACCCUUGUUUGAAGCGGAUGGAUCUGCCCUACCCUAUCCCGAUCGCAUCCUGCUGCGAGAUUUCGAGGCAUGCGCAAUAACUCGUGAAUGCAAACGACUUCAAAGCCUAUGAGUAAAUUUUAAUUGAAUUAUUUCUAGGCUUGUAGUCGGCGAUGAUUGCUUGAUGGGCGGCUUUCUCUUUCAUGUGGUUAAAUUUAAUCAUUCCGUGAUUAAGGCUCAAACUCCACCUUACGCGCUGCCACUUUUGUUAUGAGGAAACGCAGCCCUUGUUGCUGGUGGGGAGAGGAGUUCCAACGGUAGACAGGCAGCGUGUCCUGCCUCUUAGGAUGCUGAAGUUGAUGAUGACUAAUGUGUGUGAUUUGGGAUGGCUCUAAGCUCACGGUGCGGCGGCCACCCCAAGUUCCUUAUGUGAUUGUAAUGGUCGUCACGUAUUUAUGAGCGUUGUGCAAACAACGUUUUCGACGGGAGAAAAUUAUUUUGGACCUCGAAGGAGACAGUUUCCCGGGCAUGGCGACGUAUGACAGGAAUUUUCCAGAGGUGGCAUUGGUGGAAUCUUUCAAGAAGUUGGGAGCGACAUUUAUAGAUGGUCCAUGUUUCACAGGCGAACAGUAAGCAUCUGGAAGGGAUUCACUCGGCCUGCAACCUCCAUCUUGGAAUAAAGACUACAAGCUGACAUCACUCCAAACUGAUGAUUUCUAUGUGGAUGUACUUUCCCCAACAUACACUGGACUUGAGCUUUCUUCCAUGAAGAACAAGGAAGACUGGUCAGACAACUUCUUCAUGCACCUGUGUAUACUACAAUCAAAGACUUCUACAUGUGCAUGAGAUAAAGCAUUGUAAGCAACAACUAUCUGCAACUUGCUUUUGUCCCACUAUGAAUGUUCAUUUGCUAUAUGCUGUUCUUGACAAAGCCUUAUCAACCACAUGCACAUGUAGAAAGAAGUCUGUUCACCUGGAUUAGCUCUCUAAUUCUUGGUAGAAUAAAAUGUUGAACAGAUCGCUAGCAUUGAUUUUUCUGCUUGGGAAUGUAGUCAAAAGGUGCCUACCAGGCUUCAAAAACAAAAAGCUCUGAAUAACAGCUCUUAAGACAGCUCUGUCCACAUCUGUGGCUUUGUCGUUGUAUAAAUAUAUGUUCAGACUACAUGUGGCUUGUAAGUAAUGCAACAUAUUGCCUAUCUUCAGAAGUCCAUACAUCAGCUGCACUUAUUCUUGUUAGUAAAUCCCAUAAAAUACAUCUUGGCACAUUACUGUGGUAAUCUUGCCCUCUCUCCCUUCACCAGGUUCCUUUUAACUGGAGUGCCCAGCAUCAGUUACCUCACAGGCAGCCUUGAUUUGAGCAGUUCACUGGAAGCAGCUGCUGUGUUAACUCUUCAGUACCAUAUUAUACUUUAAUACUUCAAGCUAUUAAUGAGCAAGACAUUCACUAAGAGACAGAAACAUCUCAAUUGGCGAUAUAAGUAAGCCAUGGGGAAGGGAGGCUUUCUAAAACCUUUCAGCUAUUAAUGAUUGUAGCCUAAAAGUCCGACAGUCCAGCUGAUGUACUGUCCUCUGUACUGAUAGGAUGUAUAGGACAAUACAAUUUAAAGUAGGCAGCCCAGGUACCCGACAUCUUUGUCUUGCAGCAUUAAAAUUCACCUUCCUAAUUACCAAGACUUCUAAAUGGUACAGUACUUGUUCACAAUUGUGCAUAAGCCCAGGAAACAAACUUGUAGCAAACUGAGUAACAGCGUCUGCUACAUGAUCAACAUUUUGCAUAGUGUACAUUAAUAUAAUCAUUUUCCAGACUUUGCUGUGCAGUUUUCUUCUCUUGUGCAUCCAUGUUUUAAUAUGGCAAUACAAGCAUGGAUCCUUCUUGAGGGAAAGACACUGAUCUGCUUUCCAUCACCCCACCUCCUUUACACCGGCUUAGGCAGCUUACUAGGAGCACUGCUAUUAAGUUGCCAGCACUCACCCUAUUUCUUUUGCCAAGAGCUCAGCCACUGGAUAUUAACAGGCAAGUUAACCAUCUUCAUUUUUCAUAGUAUGGUUUUUUCACUCUACAGACAGUGUUGUUGGUAAUUAUACUCACAUAGAUCAGGGUUAGUUUUCUUUUAAAAUUCACAUUAUUCCACUUACCCCACUCUUAAGACAAAGUUAUAUUUUAAAAUUCCACACACCGAAGAACACAAACACAAGAGUACAGGGAGCUUAGAAAACUGCCUUUAUUCUAUUAGUUGUUGGAAACAGGAAAUACAGAAGAGAGUUUAGUUUGCUGCAGAACAGCAAGAUGUUCACAGGAUGGGAAUUUGGCCAGCAGAUAAACAAGAACCUGCAUUUUCAGCUUGGAGCCGGAUCCAGCAGGGAUUAACUUAAAGCUUCUGAAACAUUCAGUUACCUUGAGUGUAAAACAACUGCUUUUCCCUUGCUCCUGAAGGAGGUAUUAAGAUGAGCUUUCUGGGCAUGUUUAAGUCAUACAAAUGGGUUGGACAAUUACAAAUGGGGAAAGGGCAUCAUUCUCCAUUUGACUUUAUUCGUAAGUACACUUUUAAAAAACCCAGAACACCUUACACAGAAGUUACAAGCAACAGUAUUAGGAAAUCCAAUUAUACAAAAAAUACUACAUCUAGGCUGGGGUAUAUAGAUUUAUUUUUGGUAACAUACAUUUAAGUGGCACUAAUUACACAGUAACUAUAAGGUAACUAACAUGAAACCACAGAACUGUCACUUUUCAUAGCUGGAUGGGACUGAUCAUUUCAGGGUAAUCACAUUUUCUAACCAUCUUACACUUCAGAGUAUUUGAGUAUAGAAUCGGAGAAAAAAAUCAAAUGUGAAAACACUGAAGUUAUUCGGGACUCAUCCACAGCCAUGUCUGUUGUACCUGAAUAGGCUAGAACAUGUUAGUUAUGAAGUAGUUACAGCCCAAUUCUCAGUGUUACCAGCCCCCCCCCCCGCCGCCAUUUCUAAAAAAGCAAGAAGUUAGAGAAUUGUCUUGAAUUAGCGCCUGGCAUAUCCUGCAAGUGCAGAGAAAGUUUUGUUAAAGGAAUGUUGAAGUUAACCCUUGUGUGCACAGAUGUAUUUGAUGCAGACCGUUAUAAAAAAAAUCAUGGUUGGCUUCUAAAUACUGGUAGCAAGACUCGAUUUUAAAUCUCUUAAGUAAAUUAUAGAUAAAUGAAAAAGGCUGGUAAUCAUACACUAAGAUUAAUAAACAGCACUUCAAAAAUUCAUCAAGUGCAGGGCGCUGCUUCAGCCAUCUUCCCCUGGCCAUGCUUUACAAGAGAAGGCACCCAGAUUUUUUCUUGCCACGUCGGGCUUGUAAAGCAGCUCUAGUGGCCAUUUCAAAAACUUCCCUCACACCGUCUUUGGUCUUUGCACUGCACUCCAUGUAUCCAAAAGCACCAAUGCGGUUUGCCAUAUCCCUGCCCUCUUCAGGUUUCACUGGUUCCUGUAUAAACACGAGAACAAUUGUUUAUUAAUAUGGCUGAAAAGGAAAUCAGAUACAACUGAAUUGAAAAAGCUUCUGACAAUACUUUUCUAGCAAAGUGAGGCCUUCUAAAAUGGAGUUGUACACUUAAAAAAUGGUAUAGUACCAGUAGGUUUAAUACUGCAUCUGUCAGUCUGACAUUACCAGACAAUUUAUACCCCCAACCCAGGACUGGCCCUCUUGGCAUUAGAGUUAUCAGAGGAUUACAGAUUAGUGCACAGCGAUUUGGCAGUACUCUUACUUGCAGCUGCACAUAUGGAGAUAACCAGUUGCUGGAAAACAUCAGAAUUUACAGUUAGGGGCUGGAUAGAUAAGAUAUGGGAAAUGGUGCUUUUGGAAAGGCUGAUAUACCAAGCAGAGUACUAAGGGGACAUGCUAAAAGGGACACAUUUGAAUUAACUGAUGCAGACAAGAGAUAAUGACACACAGCAUUGUUUGCAUUGAGUGAAUUAUUUAAUUAUUGUCUGGUAUACUCUACCUAUUUCAGGUUAUGUUUGUGUAUGGAAAGUCUCAAUAAAAAUAAUUUAUUAAAAAUAGUGCGGCAGUCAACACAAGAAAACCAUAAUCAAGAAUUUGAAUCUUAAAACCUACAUUCUCUUCCCUAUGGUUUUACUUCUUCCUUAAAGAGAAAAAUAAUAACAUCCUUUGUUGCAUUAUUCCUUCAUAUGCACAACAUAAAAAGGGAGGGGGGACUAGUCACUGUCCCAUCUACUGCUCAAGCUGUGGUUGUUAUAUAAGAUAGUGACAUAUUGCAACACACAUCUUAGUUAUUUAAAUAAACUGUUAAGAAUUUCGCCAGGGACUUGACCGAGGCGCUGCCUUGUCCAGCUUCUUGCCUUUCUGCAGUGUCCAUCUGGCUGCUUUUUGGGUGAGCCUACGAGCAAUAGCCUUCCCCCACUGUGGGUUCUCUCCAGCCACUGGUGCCCAGAGUUAGUCCGCCUCUGAACAUGGAGUCUUCAUAUAACAGCAGCAGCCAUCAGCAGAGACUCUUAACAUCAAUGCCAGAGUGACAAAAACUGUUUUCUUACGCUUUUGCACUAGAAUGUUAUGUUAUUGAAAUGUUAUUAAUUUGAUAUGUUUUAAUUGAUAGCUUGUUUUAUGAUGACUUUAAAUAUGAUACUGUUUAGGUAAUCAACUGGAGUUAGUUAUUGUUGGGUUGUUAUGUUUUGAAAUGAUUUGAAACUAUUGUUAUGUUUUUGAAUUGACUGCUAUUGAUGUUGUCAUUUGCAUUUUUGUAAGCCACUGAGCAUAUUUGUAUGGAAAAGUGGCAUAUAAAUUCAAGUAAUAAAUAAAA
Long non-coding RNA from Rhineura floridana, 5179 nucleotides. RefSeq lists it as uncharacterized. The transcript has 4 exons. The record is from RefSeq and is a predicted model, not a curated record. NCBI's taxonomy places the organism in Eukaryota, Metazoa, Chordata, Lepidosauria, Squamata, Rhineuridae.